GACGAACGCUGGCGGCGUGCUUAACACAUGCAAGUCGAGCGGUAAGGCCCUUCGGGGUACACGAGCGGCGAACGGGUGAGUAACACGUGAGUAAUCUGCCCAUCACUUCGGGAUAACUCCGGGAAACCGGUGCUAAUACCGAAUAUGACCACUUCAGGCAUCUGAUGGUGGUGGAAAGUUCCGGCGGUGAUGGAUGAGCUCGCGGCCUAUCAGCUUGUUGGUGGGGUAGUGGCCUACCAAGGCGUCGACGGGUAGCCGGCCUGAGAGGGUGACCGGCCACACUGGGCCUGAGACACGGCCCAGACUCCUACGGGAGGCAGCAGUGGGGAAUAUUGGACAAUGGGCGGAAGCCUGAUCCAGCAACGCCGCGUGAGGGAUGACGGCCUUCGGGUUGUAAACCUCUUUCAGCAGGGACGAAGCGCAAGUGACGGUACCUGCAGAAGAAGCACCGGCCAACUACGUG
This 463-nucleotide ribosomal RNA is filed under the name uncultured bacterium. RNAcentral describes it as "partial 16S ribosomal RNA". It matches the Rfam family "Bacterial small subunit ribosomal RNA", at positions 28 to 507 of the family's 1533-position model. The record is from RNAcentral.